UUAAGCGACUAAGCGUACACGGUGGAUGCCCUGGCAGUCAGAGGCGAUGAAGGACGUGCUAAUCUGCGAAAAGCGUCGGUAAGGUGAUAUGAACCGUUACAGCCGGCGAUGUCCGAAUGGGGAAACCCAGUGCAAUUCGUUGCACUAUCGUUAACUGAAUACAUAGGUUAACGAGGCGAACCGGGGGAACUGAAACAUCUAAGUACCCCGAGGAAAAGAAAUCAACCGAGAUUCCCCCAGUAGCGGCGAGCGAACGGGGAGCAGCCCGGAGUCUGAAUCAGCUUGUGUGUUAGUGGAAGCGUCUGGAAAGUCGCAGGGUACAGGGUGAUACUCCCGUACACUAAAACGCACAGGCUGUGAACUCGAAGAGUAGGGCGGGACACGUGGUAUCCUGUCUGAAUAUGGGGGGGACCAUCCUCCAAGGCUAAAUACUCCUGACUGACCGAUAGUGAACCAGUACCGUGAGGGAAAGGCGAAAAGAACCCCGGCGAGGGGAGUGAAAAAGAACCUGAAACCGUGUACGUACAAGCAGUAGGAGCCCACUAGUUGGGUGACUGCGUACCUUUUGUAUAAUGGGUCAGCGACUUAUAUUCUGUAGCAAGGUUAACCGAAUAGGGGAGCCGCAGGGAAACCGAGUCUUAACUGGGCGUUAAGUUGCAGGGUAUAGACCCGAAACCCGGUGAUCUAGCCAUGGGCAGGUUGAAGGUUGGGUAACACUAACUGGAGGACCGAACCGACUAAUGUUGAAAAAUUAGCGGAUGACUUGUGGCUGGGGGUGAAAGGCCAAUCAAACCGGGAGAUAGCUGGUUCUCCCCCGAAAGCUAUUUAGGUAGCGCCUCGUGAAUUCAUCUUCGGGGGGUAGAGCACUGUUUCGGCUAGGGGGGUCAUCCCGACUUACCAACCCGAUGCAAACUACGAAUACCGAAGAAUGUUAUCACGGGAGACACACGGCGGGUGCUAACGUCCGUCGUGAAGAGGGAAACAACCCAGACCGCCAGCUAAGGUCCCAAAGUCAUGGUUAAGUGGGAAACGAUGUGGGAAGGCCCAGACAGCCAGGAUGUUGGCUUAGAAGCAGCCAUCAUUUAAAGAAAGCGUAAUAGCUCACUGGUCGAGUCGGCCUGCGCGGAAGAUGUAACGGGGCUAAACCAUGCACCGAAGCUGCGGCAGCGACACUAUGUGUUGUUGGGUAGGGGAGCGUUCUGUAAGCCGUUGAAGGUGGCCUGUGAGGGUUGCUGGAGGUAUCAGAAGUGCGAAUGCUGACAUAAGUAACGAUAAUGCGGGUGAAAAACCCGCACGCCGGAAGACCAAGGGUUCCUGUCCAACGUUAAUCGGGGCAGGGUGAGUCGACCCCUAAGGCGAGGCCGAAAGGCGUAGUCGAUGGGAAACAGGUUAAUAUUCCUGUACUUGGUGUUACUGCGAAGGGGGGACGGAGAAGGCUAUGUUGGCCGGGCGACGGUUGUCCCGGUUUAAGCAUGUAGGCGGAUGUUCCAGGUAAAUCCGGAACGUUACUAACGCUGAGGUGUGAUGACGAGGCACUACGGUGCUGAAGUGACAAAUGCCCUGCUUCCAGGAAAAGCCUCUAAGCAUCAGGUAACAUCAAAUCGUACCCCAAACCGACACAGGUGGUCAGGUAGAGAAUACCAAGGCGCUUGAGAGAACUCGGGUGAAGGAACUAGGCAAAAUGGUGCCGUAACUUCGGGAGAAGGCACGCUGAUGGUAAGUGAAGUGACUUGCUCAUGGAGCUGAAAUCAGUCGAAGAUACCAGCUGGCUGCAACUGUUUAUUAAAAACACAGCACUGUGCAAACACGAAAGUGGACGUAUACGGUGUGACGCCUGCCCGGUGCCGGAAGGUUAAUUGAUGGGGUUAUCCUCACGGAGAAGCUCUUGAUCGAAGCCCCGGUAAACGGCGGCCGUAACUAUAACGGUCCUAAGGUAGCGAAAUUCCUUGUCGGGUAAGUUCCGACCUGCACGAAUGGCGUAAUGAUGGCCAGGCUGUCUCCACCCGAGACUCAGUGAAAUUGAACUCGCUGUGAAGAUGCAGUGUACCCGCGGCAAGACGGAAAGACCCCGUGAACCUUUACUAUAGCUUGACACUGAACACUGGUCCUUGAUGUGUAGGAUAGGUGGGAGGCUUUGAAGUGUGGACGCCAGUCUGCAUGGAGCCAUCCUUGAAAUACCACCCUUUAAUGGCUGGUGUUCUAACGUGGGCCCCUAAUCGGGGUUGCGGACAGUGUCUGGUGGGUAGUUUGACUGGGGCGGUCUCCUCCUAAAGAGUAACGGAGGAGCACGAAGGUCAGCUAAUCCUGGUCGGACAUCAGGAGGUUAGUGCAAUGGCAUAAGCUGGCUUGACUGCGAGCGUGACGGCGCGAGCAGGUGCGAAAGCAGGUCAUAGUGAUCCGGUGGUUCUGAAUGGAAGGGCCAUCGCUCAACGGAUAAAAGGUACUCCGGGGAUAACAGGCUGAUACCGCCCAAGAGUUCAUAUCGACGGCGGUGUUUGGCACCUCGAUGUCGGCUCAUCACAUCCUGGGGCUGAAGUAGGUCCCAAGGGUAUGGCUGUUCGCCAUUUAAAGUGGUACGCGAGCUGGGUUUAGAACGUCGUGAGACAGUUCGGUCCCUAUCUGCCGUGGGCGCUGGAGAAUUGAGGGGGGCUGCUCCUAGUACGAGAGGACCGGAGUGGACGCAUCACUGGUGUUCGGGUUGUCAUGCCAAUGGCAUUGCCCGGUAGCUAAAUGCGGAAGAGAUAAGUGCUGAAAGCAUCUAAGCACGAAACUUGCCCCGAGAUGAGUUCUCCCUGACCCUUUAAGGGUCCUGAAGGAACGUUGAAGACGACGACGUUGAUAGGCCGGGUGUGUAAGCGCAGCGAUGCGUUGAGCUAACCGGUACUAAUGAACCGUGAGGCUUAACCUU
RNAcentral lists this ribosomal RNA (2908 nucleotides) under Klebsiella oxytoca. RNAcentral's name for it is "bacterial LSU rRNA". It matches the Rfam family "Bacterial large subunit ribosomal RNA". The record is from RNAcentral. Lineage: Bacteria; Pseudomonadati; Pseudomonadota; Gammaproteobacteria; Enterobacterales; Enterobacteriaceae.